UACGAAGGGACCUAGCGUAGUUCGGAAUUACUGGGCUUAAAGAGUUCGUAGGUGGUUAAAAAAGUUGGUGGUGAAAUCCCAGAGCUUAACUCUGGAACUGCCAUCAAAACUUUUUAGCUAGAGUAUGAUAGAGGAAAGUAGAAUUUCUAGUGUAGAGGUGAAAUUCGUAGAUAUUAGAAAGAAUACCGAUUGCGAAGGCAACUUUCUGGAUCAUUACUGACACUGAGGAACGAAAGCAUGGGUAGCGAAGAGG
Molecule: ribosomal RNA, 253 nt
Filed under: uncultured Pelagibacterales bacterium
Lineage: Bacteria; Pseudomonadati; Pseudomonadota; Alphaproteobacteria; Candidatus Pelagibacterales
Description: partial 16S ribosomal RNA
Rfam family: Bacterial small subunit ribosomal RNA
Source: RNAcentral